Molecule: ribosomal RNA, 245 nt
Filed under: uncultured bacterium
Lineage: Bacteria
Description: partial 16S ribosomal RNA
Rfam family: Bacterial small subunit ribosomal RNA
Source: RNAcentral
GUAGGUGGCAAGCGUUGUCCGGAUUUAUUGGGCGUAAAGCGAGCGCAGGCGGUUGCUUAGGUCUGAUGUGAAAGCCUUUGGGUUAACCGGAGUAGUGCAUUGGAAACUGGGAGACUUGAGUGCAGAAGAGGAGAGUGGAACUCCAUGUGUAGCGGUGAAAUGCGUAGAUAUAUGGAAGAACACCAGUGGCGAAAGCGGCUCUCUGGUCUGUAACUGACGCUGAGGUUCGAAAGCGUGGGUAGCAA